This is a long non-coding RNA of Oncorhynchus tshawytscha (Chinook salmon), 411 nucleotides long. Lineage: Eukaryota; Metazoa; Chordata; Actinopteri; Salmoniformes; Salmonidae. The record is from Ensembl.
ACCAGAUCUGUCUGGAGGUAGGAGGGGUGUCUGUCUGUCUGUCUGUCUGUCUAGUGAUCUACCAGAUCUGUCUGGAGGUAGGAGGGGUGUCUGUCUGUCUGCCUGUCUGUCUAGUGAUCUACCAGAUCUGUCUGGAGGUAGGAGGGGUGUCUGUCUGUCUGUCUGUCUGUCUGUCUAGUGAUCUACCAGAUCUGUCUGGAGGUAGGAGGGGUGUCUGUCUGUCUGUCUGCCUGUCUGUAUGGAGGUAGGAGGGGUGGGUGUCUGUCUGCCUGUAUGGAGGUAGGAGGGGUGUCUGUCUGUCUGCAUGGAGGUAGGAGGGGUGUCUGUCUGUCUGCCUGUCUAGUGAUCUACCAGAUCUGUAUGGAGGUAGGAGGGGUGUCUGUCUGUCUGUCUGCAUGGAGGUAGGAGGGG